This 1257-nucleotide long non-coding RNA is filed under the name Homo sapiens (human). RNAcentral's name for it is "HSALNT0255264". The record is from RNAcentral. Lineage: Eukaryota; Metazoa; Chordata; Mammalia; Primates; Hominidae.
CCUGGAUCCAUUUCUCAAACCUUUAUUGAUGCUCCCCCAGGCUGCAAAGAGAGCUUUGCAGGAAGUACCAUUUUCCCCUUUGCGGGAAAGUGCAGGAAAACCAAAUAGCUCCAUUCCUCAGUUGCCUGACCUUGGCUAGGAGGAGAGGUGGGGUCAGACCACUGGGAUCCAGAAAUGGAGAUUUUGGAGCCAGUGAAGGUUAGGUUAGGUUUGCAUGAAGUCAGAGCAGAGGUCCCAGAGUGCAGGCACCGGACAGGGCUGGGCCUGGCCGAUUGGUUCUCAGCAGUGGUGGAUGGGGAAAAGAAAAUCCUUGGCAGUGGGUUCCAGUAGCCGGGAUGGUGCACAGCACCCCUUUGGGCACUGGGCACGGCUCUGGGGCACCGGGCGGGGUCAGCACCGUGCCUCUGCUGACAGAUCCGGCCAGCCUUCUCAUCACGUGGUGGGUCUAUCCACAGCCCCAUGCCCAGAAUCAUGACACAGGCCUCGCACCCCCAAAAUUCAUUGCGUUCCCCCUGUAACCAGUGGCUGCAGUGGUUGAAUGGCCGGGCGGGGGGUGAUGCUGGGAAUCUAAGCUAGGGAUGGACCCGGGGCCCCCACUUCCUUCCCAGGCUCUAGCCUGUUUAUUGCCUGGGUCUACGCUAGACACCCCAAGUGUCUAACCUGAGUAUACACCUGGGAUAUAACUUACUAACGCCCAGAAUUUAACCCAAGGACACUUCCUAGGGUCCAGCCUGCCCAUCCCUAAGCAUGGAGCCCCAGCCAAGGGGUCCCUGAGAUCUGGCCAAAGCAUGACUUUUUUUUUUUUUUUUUUUUUUUUUUUUUUUUUUUUUUUUUUUUUUUGAGACGGAGUCUAACUCUGUCUCCCAGGCUGGAGUGCAGUGGCGCAAUCUCGGCUCACUGCAACCUCUGCCUCCUGGGUUCAAGUGAUUCUCGUGCCUCAGCAUCCAGGGUUAGCUGGGAUUACAGGCGUGUGCCACCACGCCCGGCUAAUUUUUUGUAUUUUUAGUAGAGAUGGGGUUUCGCCACGUUUCCCAUGCUGGUCUUGAACUCCUGACCUCAGGUGAUCCGCCCACCUCGGCCUCAAAACAUGUCCUCUAGAGUCUAACCUGUGGCCCCCAGGUUUCACCAGGAGCCCUUCCCCUACCUGAAGCUGAGUGGGACUCAGUCCACCCACGAGUAGCCCUGAACCUUGCGCAGGUGUUGCACGGCCCUGCGGCCGAUCCAGUAUUCACGGGCACUAGUGUCACGACUCAGGAA